UACGAAGGGGGCUAGCGUUGCUCGGAAUCACUGGGCGUAAAGCGCGUGUAGGCGGCUUUGCAAGUCGGGUGUGAAAGCCCUCAGCUCAACUGAGGAAGUGCGCCCGAAACUGCAGAGCUUGAGUGCCGGAGAGGGUGGCGGAAUUCCCCAAGUAGAGGUGAAAUUCGUAGAUAUGGGGAGGAACACCGGUGGCGAAGGCGGCCACCUGGACGGUAACUGACGCUGAGACGCGAAAGCGUGGGGAGCGAACAGG
This 253-nucleotide ribosomal RNA is filed under the name uncultured bacterium. Its description in RNAcentral is "partial 16S ribosomal RNA". It matches the Rfam family "Bacterial small subunit ribosomal RNA", at positions 524 to 776 of the family's 1533-position model. The record is from RNAcentral.